AUGCUUCUUCUCUGAAGAUAAUCUAUCAAACGGAACCCAAUUCCUCUGAUUCCUCCAUAGCUGCACAAAAAGGAGUAAGGAGAAUUCUUGUACAUCUUAACAUUGGAUAAUUCGAUCCUCGAUCAUCAAACUUCUCCUCCUUCUCUCUCUGCUGUCACUAAAAGAUAUCCAGGACUGGAUUCUCUGCCUGCUCUCUGAUGGAUAUGAUGCUGAGGUGUUUAUGUUAAUGUACGAUCAUCAAGGUUCGAGUUAUUUUUCACCAUCAAGAUGGAGUUCUGCAUCAGCAUUCAAAACCAUUUAAAAACUCUUUAGGUGACGCUGACUAACAGUCGUAGUUUCAGAAGUCCACUAAGAGUUUAUGACAGCUAAGGAUUCCCAUAGAUUGCAAGUUCGAGAAGCAUUUAAGUGAAACAGACCUUUUGAUUAAUGAGGAAGCGGGAUGUAUUAUUGAACUAGUAAUAUAUGGUGUUGAUGAAGUUGUCUUAGCUGUUACAUUUCAUUGUAUACUAGACAAUGAAAUUGAAUAGGACCUGUAAACUGGCAUUGUGACAAUUACCAUGGCUAUUAGUAUCAUUCAAAUUAACCUAUUAUCGUCGAGUAUCAUUUGAGCUCCCUUUAAGCAUCAGCUAAUGCUAUAUGAUCAUUGUGUUCCAACUGAUGUAUGCUUCGGCUGUUACAAGGAUUUGA
RNAcentral lists this long non-coding RNA (687 nucleotides) under Rosa chinensis. Its description in RNAcentral is "sRNA RchiOBHm_Chr1g0341091". Lineage: Eukaryota; Viridiplantae; Streptophyta; Magnoliopsida; Rosales; Rosaceae. The record is from RNAcentral.